RNAcentral lists this long non-coding RNA (555 nucleotides) under Brassica rapa (field mustard). Its description in RNAcentral is "long non-coding RNA (BRAP_LNC002057)". Lineage: Eukaryota; Viridiplantae; Streptophyta; Magnoliopsida; Brassicales; Brassicaceae. The record is from RNAcentral.
AAAAAUAGAAAUCAAGAUUGGUAUAAAUUUAGUGCUCUAGAAAAAAAAUGAGGCUGUAGAGAACACUCACAGCCACUACCAAUCACACCCUAUAACUCUUAGCUCCACCAAAUUUUUGUAUUGAAACCAUUUCAGUUUUUGGUAAAUAAAAUUCACAUUUUAUCUAAAAGAAUAUGAUUGAACAAAGUAACUAUUUGUAAAAAAAAAAAAAAAAGAACAACAAAGUAACGUAUCUUCCAUAAUAUUUAAACCAAGAAUUCUUGAUUUCUAGUAUACCAAAAUAAUUGUACGAUAACUGUCGAUAAACAUCAUAUAUAUCGAAUGUAAUGGUUUUCUUACUGAUCCUUUUUGGUUGUGUAAGUUUUGAGAGAAGAUUAAAAACGUAACUAAACUACUAAUAUGAUAGCAUAAUCAUAGCAGAAAAAAACUUUAUAUUUUAUGAUAAAACAGCUAAAAGAACUCGUGGUGUGACUCCUGGGUGGUUGUAACUGUCAAACCCCCCUAAUCAUAGGGAUAGAGGGGGCCGGGGGUAAACAAAUCAAACUUGCACAACGC